Molecule: ribosomal RNA, 253 nt
Filed under: uncultured bacterium
Lineage: Bacteria
Description: partial 16S ribosomal RNA
Rfam family: Bacterial small subunit ribosomal RNA
Source: RNAcentral
UACGUAGGGGGCAAGCGUUAAUCGGAAUUACUGGGCGUAAAGCGUGCGCAGGCGGCUUUGCAAGUCAGAUGUGAAAUCCCCGGGCUUAACCUGGGAACUGCAUUUGUGACUGCAUGGCUGGAGUGCGGCAGAGGGGGGUGGAAUUCCGCGUGUAGCAGUGAAAUGCGUAGAUAUGCGGAGGAACACCGAUGGCGAAGGCAAUCCCCUGGGCCUGCACUGACGCUCAUGCACGAAAGCGUGGGGAGCAAACAGG